CUUCAGUUGAGCGGAUAAUGGAUUCACUUCGUUUUUUCAUAUACUCUUUGUUCCUACAGCCGCAACUACUUCUACCGAGUACAAGAUCCAUUCCCUUUCGAAGUCUUUCACUGGUAAAAAGGCACAAUUGGGAACAAUUGAUGGGAACUUCUUUUUGAUAUAGCCAAAAAACAUGCGAUGUGCGACUGCAAACUACAUCCUUCUUUUGUGUAUAUGUACUUGUAAAGGAAAACGCAUUUAUAUUUUGGGGCUUCUACACUUUAUAGAAUGAUAUGUUUGUCAACUUUUGUGGUUAUAUUACAGGUGGAGUUAUUUGUAGUUCUCGACUUAAAAAAAAAGUCUGCCAACUUUUGUAUUUAUUAUAUUAUGGCAGAUUUUUACCUAUAGCUAGGAAAAUAAUUUUAGUUUUCCUAAUCUAAGCUUAAGUUUGCAUUCUAUUUCUAUCUGUAUGUUCAAAGAUGGUUACUUUUGUUUUUUGUUGAA
Papaver somniferum (opium poppy) is the source of this 483-nucleotide long non-coding RNA. RefSeq lists it as uncharacterized. Lineage: Eukaryota; Viridiplantae; Streptophyta; Magnoliopsida; Ranunculales; Papaveraceae. The record is from RefSeq and is a predicted model, not a curated record. The transcript has 2 exons.